Non-coding RNA from Phascolarctos cinereus (koala), 428 nucleotides. NCBI's taxonomy places the organism in Eukaryota, Metazoa, Chordata, Mammalia, Diprotodontia, Phascolarctidae. The record is from RefSeq and is a predicted model, not a curated record.
ACUGAGGCCCAGGCAGAUUAAAGUAAGGCUAUAGAUUUGGACCUGGAAGGCACUGCAGAAGCCCGGAGUUUGCCCCAGUUGACAUCAGCGUCUCCCUCUCUGCCUACCGCCCAUCCAUGCAGAGGCAUCUGCUGCCCCCCCUCGGCGGCACAUGGUGCUCACUUCUUUGGGUGCCUGGCUCUUGGUUUCACUGCUUCUGGCUGUUUCACCCACAGUGAAUGCCAUCUCCCCAAUCAGAGUGAAAACUCCCUGAGGUCCGGCCGCCCCAGCACCUGGCAUGGGGGAGUCCGGGCACCUACAGAGCCUUGUAGAAGAAGGGAAGGUCAGGAUUAUUCUUGCUCAAGGCUCCCUGCACCCUGGCCCAAGGUUACCAGGGCACCGCUGCUCAGCAGAAUCAUGAAGAUGAUGAAGGUCUCGAACCAGCUGUG